RNAcentral lists this long non-coding RNA (421 nucleotides) under Struthio camelus australis. RNAcentral's name for it is "lncRNA (ENSSCUG00000017444.1)". The record is from RNAcentral. Lineage: Eukaryota; Metazoa; Chordata; Aves; Struthioniformes; Struthionidae.
ACCCUCUUGUCAUCGGGCCAGAAUGCAAAAUAAGGACUUGUCCCGUUUCCUGUUAACCUUAAUUCCUCCAGGGGAGAUUAGCUUUGGAGCUGCAGCAGAGCCUGUAGGGAGGAGAGGGUAUCUGAGUGCAGCUAAAAGCAAGGAGAGGCUGUGUCUAAGCGGUUGUUACAGCCAGUGCAAUUACAGUAAAUACAGAAAUAUUGCGCGAGAAAUGCCAGCAGCAGCCUAUCUUUUCCUCUCUCCUUUAAUGCAUGGCCAGUGUUUUCUUCUCGGUAGACACCCUGAAUUGCAGAAAUUAUUUCUUCUCUGGACAGAGUUGUUGGUCAGACAUCCUGCGCUCAGCCCCUCGAGGGGAGAGCGUGCCUGGGAAACUCCUUACUGGUCUUUUCCACUUGGCUGUGCAAUACGGACUGCAGUUUAA